AAAAACCCAGUGAUUAAGAGAGUAGUUAUAAUGAUAUGUUUCAGCGAGCUAAUGGUUGGUGGAAGUUUAGCAUCAUACUUAUAAUGAACCGCACUUAUGAGGGGACUACCUGAACUAAUAGUAGGGUAUUCGGUUAGCUUACCUUACAAGCAUGAGAGGGUAUAAAUAUUAAUUUUAUACCAAUUAGAGUGGUACCACGGAAAUUUUUCGUCUCUUAG
This 218-nucleotide non-coding RNA is filed under the name Clostridium collagenovorans. RNAcentral describes it as "T-box sequence". It matches the Rfam family "T-box leader". Rfam says of the family: Uncharged tRNA acts as the effector for transcription antitermination of genes in the T-box leader family. Lineage: Bacteria; Bacillati; Bacillota; Clostridia; Eubacteriales; Clostridiaceae. The record is from RNAcentral.